RNAcentral lists this long non-coding RNA (674 nucleotides) under Anas platyrhynchos platyrhynchos (common mallard). RNAcentral describes it as "lncRNA (ENSAPLG00000025362.1)". The record is from RNAcentral. Lineage: Eukaryota; Metazoa; Chordata; Aves; Anseriformes; Anatidae.
GUUACAAAAUCCUAAAGAACAUUUAAGACAAAGGCUUUAAUUAACUGAGACCUGAGAUGAAGUGACCAUAAUAAGAAAUGUUGCAUAGUUUUUUUGUGAAAAAGGUAGCAGUAAAAGGUAGAACAGAGAGUGUUUCCCAUAGUGAUAAGAAUUAAAAUAAUUUAUUCUUCUACUUUUUUUUUUUUUUUAAGCACAUAUUUAACUUCAGAUAAAACAUACCAAAGCCUGAAAAAAAAUGGAUCCAUGAAAUGGAUGGUAAAACCAAAUGUACAAUAUUCAACAGACAAAAUUGACAAACGUUUCACCUUUUUUUAUAUAUAUUAAUGUCUUGAAAGCGAGAAGAUAGGGGCAGAAGGGUCUGAGCAGAGACAUCCAUGCUAUGAGGCUGAGCUUUGAGAAGCUGUAUAGUACAGUCGGCAGCCCCCCUCUGCCAUGCUAAGUGGAGCCAGGGAUGGUGGACAAAGGAAAGCCACUUCCGGGUCUGACUUGCUACAUGGUGCAAACAGCUCUCUUCCUGCAAGAGGUGUGCAGCCAGGACAGACAGCUGGGCUGAACUUCACUGCUGCUUCAAACUCAAGGUGAACAUAUGGUCCUUGAAACACAACAAGCAGCACCAAAACAAACCUUGAUCCUUCCAGCUUUGAGUGACACCAGUAGGUGAAGUAACUACCCCG